Fukomys damarensis (Damara mole-rat) is the source of this 408-nucleotide long non-coding RNA. RefSeq lists it as uncharacterized. The record is from RefSeq and is a predicted model, not a curated record. NCBI's taxonomy places the organism in Eukaryota, Metazoa, Chordata, Mammalia, Rodentia, Bathyergidae. The transcript is spliced from 3 exons.
AUCCAAAUCCUCGAGGCGGCCAUCAGAGCAUUACAUUGAGCUACUACUGGAGGACCCCAUAGGCUUUGUUGAAAUACAGGCAUUACUGGGGUAUCUUCUGAUAACUGGAGCAAUCUUGGUCUGUCCCUAAUUUUCAGCCCUCCCUCAUGAAGUAAUGGAAUCCACUGUACUUCACCUGAUUUCUCUAUGCUGCACCCUGAAAUUUCUAUCAAAAUUGUAAUCUUAAGGCCCAUUUCCAAGAAAGAAGAAGAAGAAAGAGCUGUACUACUUAUAUGAUGACCAGAUUAAGAUGUAGGAAAACGUUAUCCACCUAGGGACAUCUGGAAUUUCCCCUUAUCCUCAGAGCUGCUAUUCUCAGUGUGGCAAACAUGUGUCUUCAUCCUGAUAUACUGGAAUAAAAAUGGACAG